This 73-nucleotide transfer RNA is filed under the name Ailuropoda melanoleuca (giant panda). It matches the Rfam family "tRNA". From Rfam's summary of the family: Transfer RNA (tRNA) molecules are approximately 80 nucleotides in length. The record is from Rfam by way of RNAcentral. Lineage: Eukaryota; Metazoa; Chordata; Mammalia; Carnivora; Ursidae.
ACCUGACUGGCUCAGUUGGUAGAGCAUGAGACUCUUGAUCUCGGGGUUGUGAAUUUGAACCCCACAUUGGAUA